UGGACAAUCUCUCAGCCAAGGACUUUAUCAGCCGACAUACCAGCUGCCCGAAGGGGUUUAUUUACGAAAUAUCGCUGGCAGUGCCGGUGGGCAAGAUAAGGCGAAUCCUGUGUUCUGAUUGGCUUUGAUCUCGUUGAAGAUUUUGUCCUAUUGUUAAUUCAUAAGAAAGCGGGAUUAGCUCUGUUUGAUAAAGCAUUUGGACCGAGUGCUAUGUCCUUUUUGUUUUUUGCAUAUUUAAUGCUUUACAUGCUUUUCUUCGUUUUGACAGACUGCAAUGCUUACUUUGAAAUUCCAUUACUGCUCCCUGGUGACAUACGAGACUGCCUAAGAAUUACGUGACAUGUAAACCGGCUGCAUUUAAUUAUACAAUGACAUUUCUCCACCCGGGUUGCAGGAGUGUUAUUUAUAUAGAUGUUAACUUUGGAGAGAUCAAUCUGUUUACGCCGUGGAUGGAAGAUAAUGCAAUUGAUAGAUAUCAAUGACUUAUCUUUGAUAACUCAAAGAUAACUCAUUGAGUUUUACUUUGUGGAAUUCGAUAGACAAUCCUGCGAGAGUAGAACCGCCGCUUUUGUCAAUCAGAAAUCAGGAAUGUCAUAAAAACACUCGCUCGCGAAGCUGGUCAUAUGACAAAAAUGACUGAGGAAGUUUAUUUUUUCCUUUUGUUUUUGUAGUUUUUUACCGUCAAUUACGUCACCCAAUGCUGACAUUGUAACUCUUUCCAUGUAUGGUGUUAGGGUCAUUUCCUGCCGCUGAUACAGCAGCAGAUGCUGUAAAUAAAUUUAAAAACUCCACUAUGGACAACAAAGAGCUGUUUGUAAGAGUCCUACCGACUAUUCAUCCUGGGCUGUUCCCCCCUGGAAGCCAACCCCUUGUAGUACUGGUUAACUCUAGAAGUGGAGGUGGUCAAGGGGCCGACAUGUCAGCAGCUUUCCAGAGACUGCUCAACCCUCAUCAAGUGUACAGCCUCACAGAAAGAGGCCCUUAUUAGGAUUUUACGCUUUCAGAUCUAUUCCUGAUUUUCGUGUCUUGAUCUGUGGGGGCGAUGGGACAGUUGGCUGGGUGUUGUCGUGUUUGGAUGAUG
This is a long non-coding RNA of Stylophora pistillata, 1081 nucleotides long. Lineage: Eukaryota; Metazoa; Cnidaria; Anthozoa; Scleractinia; Pocilloporidae. The record is from RefSeq and is a predicted model, not a curated record.